GACGAACGCUGGCGGCGUGCUUAACACGUGCAAGUCGAACGGAAAGGCCCUGCUUUUGUGGGGUGCUCGAGUGGCGAACGGGUGAGUAACACGUGAGUAACCUGCCCUUGACUUUGGGAUAACUUCAGGAAACUGGGGCUAAUACCGGAUAGGAGCUCCUGCUGCAUGGUGGGGGUUGGAAAGUUUCGGCGGUUGGGGAUGGACUCGCGGCUUAUCAGCUUGUUGGUGGGGUAGUGGCUUACCAAGGCUUUGACGGGUAGCCGGCCUGAGAGGGUGACCGGCCACAUUGGGACGGGGAGCCGGCCCAAACCCCUACGGGGGGAAGCAGGGGGGAAUUUUGCAAAAGGGGCGGAAGCCUGAGGCAGCACCGCCGGGGGGGGGAGGACGGCCUUCGGGUGGAAAACCGUUUUCGCCUGUGACGAAGGGGGAGGGACGGUAAUGGGAAAAGAAGCCCCGGCUAACUACGG
Molecule: ribosomal RNA, 467 nt
Filed under: uncultured bacterium
Lineage: Bacteria
Description: partial 16S ribosomal RNA
Rfam family: Bacterial small subunit ribosomal RNA
Source: RNAcentral